AACAUAAAUGGGGGUGGAUCCAGAGAUUAGUCAGACUGUGCAGGUCUCUGUGAGCCAUGUAAGGAAUUUAGAUUUACACUCAGAGCAACAAUGUACUUGAUUGAAUUUAUGAGCAAGGUCAUUGUUGUCACUCCAUCAAGAAUGUAUUGGUCAAGAAUGGGAACAGAGAGACCAGAGUUCUGAUUUGUGAACUGCAUAUUUGUCAGGUCAGUAAUGUCAUUACUGACUGCCGAAUUCACCACCAUCAUAGCUCCACCCUGGAUUUUUCAAUCAUUGCCUACCAAUUCCACAGCCACCUUACACUCUAUGAGCUAGAAUUUAUUCAUAGCUUCAAAUAAAGAUGGGGAAUGACAAGGGAUCAGGUAUUAUGGAGCAAGAAACUGAAAUUUUAAAAGAUUCAAAAUGUCAAAAAAAAAGUAGCAAAAUCAUGCAGCAUGAUGGAGUCAACACUAAGGAUAAAUGAAACCAAAGAAUUAAAGAACUGAAAGAAAUAACUCAAAAUGUAGACAAGCUCUAUCAGUCAUCUCAAUGUCUCUGUCCAGUGUCUGACAUUCUAAGUAUCAAGGUGACCUGAAC
This is a long non-coding RNA of Talpa occidentalis (Iberian mole), 576 nucleotides long. RefSeq lists it as uncharacterized. The transcript is spliced from 3 exons. The record is from RefSeq and is a predicted model, not a curated record. NCBI's taxonomy places the organism in Eukaryota, Metazoa, Chordata, Mammalia, Eulipotyphla, Talpidae.